Leopardus geoffroyi (Geoffroy's cat) is the source of this 182-nucleotide small nuclear RNA. RefSeq annotates it as U2 spliceosomal RNA. The transcript has a single exon. Lineage: Eukaryota; Metazoa; Chordata; Mammalia; Carnivora; Felidae. The record is from RefSeq and is a predicted model, not a curated record.
AUCGCUUCUCGGCCUUUUGGCUAAGAUCAAGUGUAAAAUUUGCUUACAUUUUUAUUUAUUUUUGAGAGAGAGAGACAGAGUGUGGGUGGGAGAGAGGCAGAGAGAGAUGGAGACACAGAAUCCAAAGUAGGCUCCAGGCUCUGCACUGUCAGCAUAGAGCCCAAUGCAGGGCUGGAACCCAC